UCGAUUCCCUUAGUAGCGGCGAGCGAAACGGGAAGAGCCCAAACCAACAAGCUUGCUUGUUGGGGUUGUAGGACACUCUAUACGGAGUUACAAAGGACGACAUUAGACGAAUCAUCUGGAAAGAUGAAUCAAAGAAGGUAAUAAUCCUGUAGUCGAAAAUGUUGUCUCUCUUGAGUGGAUCCUGAGUACGACGGAGCACGUGAAAUUCCGUCGGAAUCUGGGAGGACCAUCUCCUAAGGCUAAAUACUCUCUAGUGACCGAUAGUGAACCAGUACCGUGAGGGAAAGGUGAAAAGCACCCCGGAAGGGGAGUGAAAUAGAACCUGAAACCGUGUGCUUACAAGUAGUCAGAGCCCGUUAAUGGGUGAUGGCGUGCCUUUUGUAGAAUGAACCGGCGAGUUACGAUUUGAUGCAAGGUUAAGCAGUAAAUGUGGAGCCGUAGCGAAAGCGAGUCUGAAUAGGGCGUUUAGUAUUUGGUCGUAGACCCGAAACCAGGUGAUCUACCCUUGGUCAGGUUGAAGUUCAGGUAACACUGAAUGGAGGACCGAACCGACUUACGUUGAAAAGUGAGCGGAUGAACUGAGGGUAGCGGAGAAAUUCCAAUCGAACCUGGAGAUAGCUGGUUCUCUCCGAAAUAGCUUUAGGGCUAGCCUCAAGUGAUGAUUAUUGGAGGUAGAGCACUGUUUGGACGAGGGGCCCCUCUCGGGUUACCGAAUUCAGACAAACUCCGAAUGCCAAUUAAUUUAACUUGGGAGUCAGAACAUGGGUGAUAAGGUCCGUGUUCGAAAGGGAAACAGCCCAGACCACCAGCUAAGGUCCCAAAAUAUAUGUUAAGUGGAAAAGGAUGUGGCGUUGCCCAGACAACUAGGAUGUUGGCUUAGAAGCAGCCAUCAUUUAAAGAGUGCGUAAUAGCUCACUAGUCGAGUGACACUGCGCCGAAAAUGUACCGGGGCUAAACAUAUUACCGAAGCUGUGGAUUGUCCUUUGGACAAUGGUAGGAGAGCGUUCUAAGGGCGUUGAAGCA
This 1023-nucleotide ribosomal RNA is filed under the name Staphylococcus aureus. Its description in RNAcentral is "partial 23S ribosomal RNA". It matches the Rfam family "Bacterial large subunit ribosomal RNA", at positions 231 to 1257 of the family's 2925-position model. Lineage: Bacteria; Bacillati; Bacillota; Bacilli; Caryophanales; Staphylococcaceae. The record is from RNAcentral.